This 648-nucleotide ribosomal RNA is filed under the name uncultured Alphaproteobacteria bacterium. RNAcentral describes it as "bacterial SSU rRNA". It matches the Rfam family "Bacterial small subunit ribosomal RNA", at positions 46 to 743 of the family's 1533-position model. The record is from RNAcentral. Lineage: Bacteria; Pseudomonadati; Pseudomonadota; Alphaproteobacteria.
GCCUAAUACAUGCAAGUCGAACGGUCCUUCGGGACAGUGGCGGACGGGUGAGUAACGCGUGGGAACGUGCCCUUUGGUACGGAACAACUGAGGGAAACUUCAGCUAAUACCGUAUGUGCCCUUCGGGGAAAGAUUUAUCGCCAUUGGAGCGGCCCGCGUUAGAUUAGCUAGUUGGUGGGGUAAAGGCCUACCAAGGCAACGAUCUAUAGCUGGUCUGAGAGGAUGAUCAGCCACACUGGGACUGAGACACGGCCCAGACUCCUACGGGAGGCAGCAGUAGGGAAUCUUGCGCAAUGGGCGAAAGCCUGACGCAGCCAUGCCGCGUGAAUGAUGAAGGUCUUAGGAUUGUAAAAUUCUUUCACCGGGGACGAUAAUGACGGUAUCCGGAGAAGAAGCCCCGGCUAACUUCGUGCCAGCAGCCGCGGUAAUACGAAGGGGGCUAGCGUUGCUCGGAAUUACUGGGCGUAAAGGGAGCGUAGGCGGAUAGUUUAGUCAGAGGUGAAAGCCCAGGGCUCAACCUUGGAAUUGCCUUUGAUACUGGCUAUCUUGAGUGUGGGAGAGGUAUGUGGAACUCCGAGUGUAGAGGUGAAAUUCGUACAUAUUCGGAAGAACACCAGUGGCGAAGGCGACAUACUGGCCCAUUACUGA